Long non-coding RNA from Choloepus didactylus (southern two-toed sloth), 1266 nucleotides. RefSeq lists it as uncharacterized. Lineage: Eukaryota; Metazoa; Chordata; Mammalia; Pilosa; Megalonychidae. The transcript has 3 exons. The record is from RefSeq and is a predicted model, not a curated record.
AGAUUAUCUGGAGUACCAAAAUAGCCAUGUAUGAAAGAAGUUUUUAAGGUAUCUUUUAACUCUAAGAGAAGCCUAUGAAGCUAGUAUCUGGAAUAAUUUUCAGCUUUUUGAGUCUGUAGAGGUUUAUACACUCAAGAAAUCAGAGGAUUUUGCACGUCUUCCAUGGAUUUAGCAUCUGAUGGAAAUAUAUGUGAAGCUAAAAGCAUAACGAAGAAAAAAAUGGCCCAAGCAAUCCAGCUAUUCAAAUAAUGCUUUUGAGGUAAAGAAAAAAAUGCACAUAAGAAAAUUCAAAUGAUAUUUAAUGAUACAAAAUAAAAAGUCUUUCUCUUCGAUCCUACUUCUACCCCAACCCACCCACUAGUUCUUGGACCCUCUCCUGGUGGUACCCAUAGUUAAAUAUUUCGUCUGUCUUUGAAAACAUCUAAAAAAUAUUUACCAGUCUAUCAUUAUAAUAAUCUUUGUACGUAGCCCAUAGUAGGUAUAUCUAUCAGCUUUUGCUGGGUUCUGCUGCCAUAGCAAUACCUUCAUAUUUCAGUAACUUACAACACUGGUUUAUUUCUUGUUCAUAUUACAUGUUGUCGUCUGUGAAUUGCCUGCAGCUUUGUUUCGUAUGCUUUAAUUUGAAACCCUGACUGAAGAGACAUGCUGUUUUGUGGUAAAGAGCAAGUAAACUGGUGAAAACAGAUAGUGGUUCUUAAAAGCUUCUCAUUCAUGGCAGGUAUCAAAUUGGCUUGUAUGUUAUUGGCCAAAGCAAGUCAAGUAGUCAAGCUCCUUGUCAGUGAGUGGGGCAGGCAUGUGUGUUCCUCCCACAGGUGCCAUUGCAAGUCACAUGAUAAUGGGUGAGUCUGUAUAAUCCUUUUAUAAAGGAAAGAGGAGAGUGAAUAGUUAAGAACCAAGGCAGUCUAAAAGAGGUGCCCAACUAAUGCUUGCUUAAUGGUUUGCUUUGAAUUUGUGGAAGGUUCAUUUUUUUCUUUAAAUGGAAGAUUUCAAACAUAAAAAAGUAGAGAGAGUAAUAUGAUGAACCUCCGUAUUCCCGUCAUUAGCCUCAACAGUUAUCAGUGCAUGGAAAUCUUGGUUCAUCUGUUUCCUUCCCUUCUCCCUGCCUUCCGAUUGGAUUGUUUUGAAGCAUUUCUCAGGAACCAUACAGUUUCAACUGUAAACAUUUCAUUAAAUGUCUGUAAAAGCUAAGGUUUGAAAGUAACUUCUUAUAGUAAUUUCUUAUCUAAUAGUUUGAGGUUGUGGUACCAUGAUCUGACAGGUAUCUAG